RNAcentral lists this ribosomal RNA (468 nucleotides) under uncultured bacterium. RNAcentral describes it as "partial 16S ribosomal RNA". It matches the Rfam family "Bacterial small subunit ribosomal RNA", at positions 28 to 507 of the family's 1533-position model. The record is from RNAcentral.
GACGAACGCUGGCGGCGUGCUUAACACAUGCAAGUCGAACGGAAAGGCCCUGCUUUUGUGGGGUGCUCGAGUGGCGAACGGGUGAGUAACACGUGAGUAACCUGCCCUUGACUUUGGGAUAACUUCAGGAAACUGGGGCUAAUACCGGAUAGGGGCUCCUGCUGCAUGGUGGGGGUUGGAAAGUUUCGGCGGUUGGGGAUGGACUCGCGGCUUAUCAGCUUGUUGGUGGGGUAGUGGCUUACCAAGGCUUUGACGGGUAGCCGGCCUGAGAGGGUGACCGGCCACAUUGGGACUGAGAUACGGCCCAGACUCCUACGGGAGGCAGCAGUGGGGAAUAUUGCACAAUGGGCGGAAGCCUGAUGCAGCAACGCCGCGUGCGGGAUGACGGCCUUCGGGUUGUAAUCCGCUUUCGCCUGUGACGAAGCGUGAGUGACGGUAAUGGGUAAAGAAGCACCGGCUAACUACGUG